AUGACAAAUCAGAUUACAUAAUGCCCUGGAUCACAACAAAGACACUGGCUUGUGAUUCUUCUUUCCUUCUGUCAAUGUGCUCCCUGACCUCUGCAUGGAUGUGCCCUCUAGGCAUGCCAUGUAUUUCCCCAAGAACUCAUCACUCUCUUCUUGCUUGAAUAUUUAUGAAUAGAAGUGCAAUGUAAUUCUUCCCCAUGCUCCUGCAUAGGUUAAAAUCCAUACACAGCCAGGAGCAACUUGUCGAAAAUUACCAUUUAAGUUUUCCUACCAGUUUAUUGUCUUAGCAGCUGCUGCUCAAGGAAAGCCCAUGUGUGGACAUAGGAAGAAAGUGUCAAUCUUCAAGUGAAGAGGAGAGCUCUCACAAGAAACUAAAUCAGCUGGAACCUUGAUCUUGGACUUCCAGCCAUCAGAACUGAGAGAAAAUUAAUUUUGUUGUUUAAGCAGUCUAUAUUUUUUAUGGUACCCCAAGCAGGCGAGCACAAUAUUCAAAGAAGGCAUUCAAUUCAGUUCAAUGCAAUUCAGUUCAAAUAUUUAUUUUGAGGCUGCUAUAUGCCAGAUACUGUUCUACUUUUCUAGUUAUUAGGAAGGUUCGAUCAGGGUGGGGACAGAUAGAAGUCAGUGGCUUCACAGUGGUUAUAUUCUAAUGAGAUAAAGCAGAGUAAAACUAAAAUAAAGUAUGUGUGUUAUGGGGAAAACUAAAGCAGGAAAGGGAAAUAAGGAGUGCUGCAAGUUAAAAUAACAUAGUCAUGAUGGGGCAUCCAUAUUUAGAAACUUAUAUUUGAGCAAAGACUUAAAGUGGAUGGAGAUGCUAGCUUGUACAUAUGUGGAAGAGAAGCACCAUAGGCAGAGAGAAGAGCAAGUGCAAGGGCCAUGGGGUAGGAAUCUAAUUCUCAAGCUCAAAAUUUAGGCAAGGAAGCCAGUAUGGCAAACAUGCUAUGUAAGAGAAGUUAACAGGAGUAAACAUCAAAGAAGUAAGGAACAUAUAUGUGGGAAUUUUCCAAAUUUCAUAAAUAAAGGGAGCGAUAUGAGAUGGCAUUGUAAAUUUUUUUAGAAAAGAAGAAACAUAGUCCAGAUAUGUUUUACAAGUGAUCAUUCUGGCUACAGUAUUAAGCAUAUAUUCCAGAGGAAGAGAUAAAAACUUGAGGUGCUGUUUUAAAGGCUUUUGCUAUUAGAAACCUUGGACCAGAGAGGAAGUAGUGGAUGGGUAAGUAAAUGUCUGAUUUUCUGUAUAUAUAUUUGAAGGGCAGCCAGCAUGUGAAUUUAAUGUGAUAUAUGAGACAGAGAAGGUAAAAAGAGACACCUGGGCCUAUGCAACUAGAGGAGUUGUGGAAGACUGUAUUAGGCAAAAUGGGGUGGCAAAAUUGACUGGAGGAGAUCAAGUUUGAGAUGUCUGUUAACUAUCCAAAUGGAUUUGGUAGGUAGGUGUAUUAGUCCAUUCUCAUGCUGCUAUAGGACAUACCGAAGACUGGGUAUUUAUAAAGGAAAGAGGAUUAACUGAUACACAGUUCUGCAGGGCUGGGAAGGCCUCAGGAAACUUACAGUCACGGCAGAAGGAGAAGCAAAUAUGUCCUUUUUUACAUGGUGGCAGGAUAAAGAAGGAUUAGUGCCCAAUGAAGGGGGAUGCCCCUUAUAAAACCAUCAGAUCUUGUGAGAACUAACUCACUAUAACGAGAACAUGAUGGGGGAAACUACUCCAUGAUUCAAUUAUCUCCAUCUGGUCCCUCCCACAACAUGUGGGGAUUAUGGGAACUACAAUUCAAAAUGAGAUUUGGGUGGGGAUACAGUCAAACCAUACCAAUCUGCCCCUGUUCCCUUCCAAAUCUCACGUCCUCACACUUCAAAACACAAUUAUGCCCUUCCAACAGUUCCCAAAGUCUUAACUCAUUCCAGCCUUUACUCAAAAGUCUAAGUCCAAAGUCUCAUCUGAGACAAGGAAAGUCUCUUCUGCUUAUGAGCCUGUAUAAUUAAAAGCAAGUUAACUACUUGCUAAAUACAAUGGGGGUACAGGAAUUGGGUAAAUACACCUGUUCGAAAUGGGAGAAAUUGGCCAAAACAAAGGGGCUACAGGCCCCAUGCAAGUCCAAAAUCCAGUAGGGCACUCAUUAAAAUGUAAAGUUCCAAAAUGAUCUCCUUUGACUCCAUGUCUUACAUCCAAGACAUGCUGAUGCAAGAGGUGGGCUCCCACAGCCUUGGGGAGCUCCACCCCUGCGGCUUUGCAAGUUAUAGCUCCCCUCUAGGCUGCUUUCAUGGCUGGGGUUAAGUGUCUGUGGCUUUUCCAGGUGCGUGUUGCAAGCUGUUGGUGAAUCUACCAUUCUGGGGUAUGGAGGAUGAUGGGCCUCUUCUCCAGCUCCACUAGGCAAUGCCCCAGUGGAGACUCAGUGCAGAGGCUCCAACCCCACAUUUCCCUUCUGCACUGCCCUAGCAGAAGUUCUCCAUGAGGGCUCUGCUCCUUCACUCCUGCUUUGACAUCCAGGCAUUUCCAUAUAACCUCUGAAAUCUAGGCAGAGGUUCCCAAACCUCAAUUCCUGUCUUCUGCCCACCUGCAGGCCCAACACCAUGUGGAAUCUGCCAAGGCUUAGGGCUUGCACCCUGUGAAGCAAUGGCCUGAGCUGUACUUAGUCCUUUUAGCCAUGGCUGGAGCUGAAGCAGCUGGGGUGCAGGGCACCAAGUCCUGAGGUUGCACACAACAGGGGCACCCUGGGCCUGACCCAUAGAGCCAUUUUUCCUUUGUAGGCCUCCAGGCAUGUGAUGGGAGGGGCUGCAGUGAAGGUCUCUGACAUACCCUGGAGAUAUUUUCCCCAUUAUCUUGGUUAUUAACAUUUGAUGCCUCAUUACAUAUGCAAAUUUCAGCAGCAGACUUGAAUUUCUCCCCAGAAAAUGGGGUUUCCUCUUCUAUUGCUUCAUCAGGCUGCAAAUUUUCCAAACUUUUAUGAUCUGCUUCCUCUUGAACACUUUGCUGCUUAGAAAUUUCUUCCACCAGGUACCCUAAAUCACCUCUCUCAAAUUCAAAGUUCCACAUGUCUCUAGGGCAGGGGCAAAAUGCCUCCGAUCUACUUUACUCCAGUUCCCAAGAAGUUCCUCAUCUCCAUCUGAGACCACCUCAGCCUGAACUUCAUGGCCCGUAUCACUGUAAGCAUUUUGGUCAACGCCAUUCAACAAGUCUCCAGGAAGUUCCAAACUUUCCCACAUUUUCCUGUCUUCUUCUGAGCCCUCCAAAUUGUUCCAACCUCAGUCUACUACUCAAUUCCAAAGUCACUUCUACAUUUUUGGGUAUCUUUACAGCAGCACCCCAUCACCCGGCACCAAUUUACUGUAUUAGUCUAUUCUCACGCUUCUAUAAGGGUAUACCUGAGACUGGGUAAUUUGUAAAGGAAAGAGGUUUAAUUGACUCACAGUUCGGCAGGGCUGGGAAGGCCUUAGGAAACUUACAAUCAUGGCAGAAGGGAGAGCAAACACAUCCUUCUUCACAUGGUGGCAGAGAGGAGAAUGAGUGUCCAGCAAAGGGGGAAGCCCCUUAUAAAACCAUCAGAUCUUAUGAGAACUAGCUCAAUAUCCUAAGAGCAGGAUAGGGGAAACUUCCCCCUGUGAUUCAAUUAUCUCCACCUGGUGUCUUCCACGAUGUGGAGAUUAUGGCAACUACAAUUCAAGAUGAUGUUUGGGCUGAGACACAGCCAAACCAUAUCAGUAGGCAAUUGGAUCUACAAGUAUUGUAUUCAUAGUAGAUGUAAAUGUGGGAGUCUUCUACAUGAAGCCUUCAUGAGAUUAUCAUGGAGUAAGUAUAGACAAAGGAGAAAGGCCAGUGGUCCUCGACACUCUCUAUAUUAAAGAGUUGAAGAUAUAAGGAGAAACCAGCAAGUGUGGAUGAAGAGGUGUGGUCAGUAAUUGAAGAAGGAAAACAUCAGUGGUGGUGUGUGGCCUUGAAAGCUAGACAGUAAAAAGUUCUUGUAGGGAGGGAGUAAUCAAUUGUGUCAAACAGAGCUGCAAUUUGAUGAGAACUGAUAAAUAACAUUGAAUUUAGCCAUAGUGGUAGUUGAUCGCCUUGUCAAGAAUAUUUUCAGUGUUUGGGGGAAAAUCUGACUGGAGUUGAUUUAAGGGAAAAAAAUCAGAGGAUAAAGAUUGAAGAGUUAAAGGAUUUAUAGAACAACAUGGGAAUAUGAUACUAGAACAGGUAAUAAUUCUUAGCUCUUUAUGCAUUAUAUCGCAGUUCAUUAAAUUCUUAUGGAAAUUCCUAAGGCAGAGACACUUACUUCUCUUAAAAUAGAAUAGUGACUUGAUAGGUGAAAUAUCAUGCCGCAGUGAAAAGUUAGAACUGCAAGGAUUACACACAAAUGACAUUUGUCUGAUGCCUGACUGUCACAUUCCAGGAGAACAGAAAAUAAAAAUAUUACUUACAAAAUGCCAUUUGAGUUCAUUUUCAAAGAAUGAAAAGUGGGGAGAGAAUAUGCUAAGUAUAGAUAGUGAUGAGAUAGGAAAAAGAAGUGAAAAUGGUUCUGAAUAUGUCUUGGGUUUUUUUCCAGAUUAACUUUCUUUUUUGCUUGAUUUUCUUUAGAUCUGUUUUAAUUUUCUGUAGAUUUCUGACUAUGAGCUUGCAAUAAUUUACAUAGUCUAUGCAAUCAUUCUAAGGAAAAAAAAAGCUCAGAAAAGAAGAAUUUGAUUACACUGAGAGAUAAAAGACUUGUAGGAACAAGCUAAAAAUAAAAUUUUAAAUGUAAUAUCAAUUGAAAACAGAUAACUUUAACUAUUCUCCAUUAAAUACUUAUUGAAUUAUUUUCUUGUUUUGUGUAUUUAGCAAUUUAACAUUGGUAUAAGCAUGAACCUGAAAUAAUGUAACAGGUUUAUAAAUUUAUAUAUAUGCUAAGAUAUGUUCAU
Molecule: long non-coding RNA, 4869 nt
Organism: Pan troglodytes (chimpanzee)
Lineage: Eukaryota; Metazoa; Chordata; Mammalia; Primates; Hominidae
Exons: 4
Source: RefSeq, a predicted model, not a curated record